GCCACAGGUACCGUGGAAUACGACGCAUGCCAAUAUGGCACCUCAUUGUUCAUUUAUAGGGGCUGUACAGACUGACAGAGUGUAUUACUAAUCCAGACCAGGAGUGGCUCUCUUAUGUGUACAUCUGUGGGGGCAUAGUGACCCUUCUCUUUCUGGGGAUGAUGAUCUCCUUCCUGAGUCUACAUGGAUGCAAACGACAAGACACCACAGGACCUUUUUACUGUGGUGAUGUAUUCCACAGCAGAGAAUAUCCAAUCAAGAGUUCUUUCAGCUGAAUGAUGGACAAGUCAGCCCCUGUAAUGACUGUCAAGUUUAGCACACCUUUGAAUAUUAAAUAAUUUCUCUAAUGAACUUAUAAUACUGUUCAAUUAUUUUUGGUUUUGUAUUUUUUCUUAACUGUUAUUGGAUGAAGCAUUAUUAACUGUAGGUACUGUCAUGGUGACCUCCAUUUUGUGAAGUGUGUGAUUGGGCCUAUGGUGUUCUGAUGCUAUGUGCCACUGUGUAGCCUAGCGUAGUACGCUUACAGGCAGUUUAUAAAGGUUAUGUGUUUAGCACAUUAGCACUGCAAUUGUAUUAAUGUUCUGUGCAUGUUAUUGCCUCCCUUGAUAUCCUUAUCGAUUUAUAACCAACCUCAAAUGCGGCUCAUCUCAGAAUAAAAAGUAUUGUUGGGGUGAAAAAUCAUUUGAUCAAGGCCCUCCUGUUUUUAUUUUUACAAUUACAAGUACUUAGAUCACUAAUAAACAUUUCAGUCUCGUGGUGAAAUUGUUAUGUAUGAGACUUCAGCGUGCAUGUCUGGCACGCUUGAGCCACAAGAUGGCACUUCUGAGUCACCAAAUAAUAGUGGUAGAGAAACACACACACACACACACACACACACAC
This is a long non-coding RNA of Clupea harengus (Atlantic herring), 879 nucleotides long. The record is from Ensembl. NCBI's taxonomy places the organism in Eukaryota, Metazoa, Chordata, Actinopteri, Clupeiformes, Clupeidae.